This is a non-coding RNA of Podarcis lilfordi (Lilford's wall lizard), 78 nucleotides long. Lineage: Eukaryota; Metazoa; Chordata; Lepidosauria; Squamata; Lacertidae. The record is from the annotation of a GenBank genome assembly.
GGGGGAAGAGGCCAUAGCUCAGUGGUAGAGCAUCUGCUUUGCAUGCAGAAGGUCUCAGUUCAAUACCCAGUAUCCCCA